RNAcentral lists this ribosomal RNA (79 nucleotides) under Desulfobacterales bacterium. The record is from RNAcentral. Lineage: Bacteria; Pseudomonadati; Thermodesulfobacteriota; Desulfobacteria; Desulfobacterales.
UCCGAACACGGAAGUUAAGCUCUUCAGCGCCGAUGGUACUGCUCGGGUGACCGGGUGGGAGAGUAGGUCGCUGCCGAGA